This is a non-coding RNA of Glossina fuscipes fuscipes, 569 nucleotides long. The record is from Rfam. Lineage: Eukaryota; Metazoa; Arthropoda; Insecta; Diptera; Glossinidae.
UUUUUGAUGCUUUUGUCCGCCUUUUUUAGACCAACCAUUUUCCAUUCGCCCUUGGAAUGUACCAAUUCAUAUAUAAGUACACAGAUGCCUGUAUUGUCCGAUGGAUGCCGCAGCUGGGUAACUGUGGUAAUUCUAGAGCUAAUACAUGCAAUAUAAACACGGACCAAUGGAACGUGCGCUUUUAUUAGGCUAAAACCAAGCGACCUUUUUGGUCGUAUACUGGUUGAACUCUAGAUAACUUGCAGAUCGUAUGGUCUUGUACCGACGACAUAUCUUUCAAAUGUCUGCCCUAUCAACUUUUGAUUGUAGUAUUUAGGACUACCAUGGUUGCAACGGGUAACGGGGAAUCAGGGUUCGAUUCCGGAGAGGGAGCCUGAGAAACGGCUACCACAUCUAAGGAAGGCAGCAGGCGCGUAAAUUACCCACUCCCAGCUCGGGGAGGUAGUGACGAAAAAUAACAAUACAGGGCUCAUAUACGAGGCCCUGUAAUUGGAAUGAGUACACUUUGAAUCCUUUGACAAGGACCUAUUGAAGGGAGAGCCAGCAGACGCAGUAACUUCAGCUCCAAU